GAUGAACGCUGGCGGCGUGCCUAACACAUGCAAGUCGAACGAACGGUCCAGAUCCUUUCUCCCCUGAUUUUGUCGGCGGUCGGGUGCGUCAUACGUGUUUAACCUACCUAUAAGACUGGUGUGCCUUCGCGAAACCGGAUCUACUACCCGAUAAUAUUUUGCACUGCAUGGUUCCAACGUGAAAGACGGUCUUGCUGUCACUUAUAGAUGGAUCCGCGCUGCAUUAGCUAGUUGGUAAGGUAACUGCUUACCAAGGCAAGGAUGCAUAGCCGACCCGAGAGGGAGAUCGGACAGACUGGCACUGAGACACGGCCGAGACUCCUACGGGAGGAAGCAGUCGGGAAUCUUCCGCGAUGGGGGAAAGCCUGACGGAGCAACGCCGCGUGAGGGAUGAAGGUCUUCGGAUCGUAAAACGCUGUUAGUAGGGAAGAACAUAUGUGUAAGUACCCGUGCAGAUCAUGACGGUACCGAAACAGUAAGCCCCGGCUAACUACGUG
RNAcentral lists this ribosomal RNA (497 nucleotides) under uncultured bacterium. RNAcentral's name for it is "partial 16S ribosomal RNA". It matches the Rfam family "Bacterial small subunit ribosomal RNA", at positions 28 to 507 of the family's 1533-position model. The record is from RNAcentral.